RNAcentral lists this unclassified non-coding RNA (279 nucleotides) under plant metagenome. RNAcentral describes it as "partial contains small subunit ribosomal RNA, internal transcribed spacer 1, and 5.8S ribosomal RNA". The record is from RNAcentral.
UUUCCGUAGGUGAACCUGCGGAAGGAUCAUUAACGAGAUAGGGUCUUUUAGGACCGAACUCCAAACCCAAUGUUUAUUGAACCACUGAAGAUUCGGGGGACCCGUCGCACGGCCGCCGAAGGACAGGUGCGAUGCGUCCUCGGGGCAGCGUCCGCCGAGGGCCACCCCCCUAAAAGCUGCAUGAGACGUGGCAUAUGGCUAAGUGUAUGAUUAAAUUAAAGCAAAACUUUCAACAACGAAUCGCUUCGUUCGGGCAUCGCUGAAAUAAACAGCAAAUAA